Molecule: ribosomal RNA, 371 nt
Filed under: Campylobacter sp.
Lineage: Bacteria; Pseudomonadati; Campylobacterota; Epsilonproteobacteria; Campylobacterales; Campylobacteraceae
Description: bacterial SSU rRNA
Rfam family: Bacterial small subunit ribosomal RNA
Source: RNAcentral
GAGCAGCACGCCGCGUGGAGGAUGACACUUUUCGGAGCGUAAACUCCUUUUCUUGGGAAAGAAUUAUGACGGUACCCAAGGAAUAAGCACCGGCUAACUCCGUGCCAGCAGCCGCGGUAAUACGGAGGGUGCAAGCGUUACUCGGAAUCACUGGGCGUAAAGGACGCGUAGGCGGAUUAUCAAGUCUCUUGUGAAAUCUAACGGCUUAACCGUUAAACUGCUUGAGAAACUGAUAAUCUAGAGUAAGGGAGAGGCAGAUGGAAUUCUUGGUGUAGGGGUAAAAUCCGUAGAGAUCAAGAAGAAUACCCAUUGCGAAAGCGAUCUGCUGGAACUUAACUGACGCUAAUGCGUGAAAGCGUGGGGAGCAAACA